Molecule: ribosomal RNA, 448 nt
Filed under: uncultured bacterium
Lineage: Bacteria
Description: bacterial SSU rRNA
Rfam family: Bacterial small subunit ribosomal RNA
Source: RNAcentral
AAUCAACGCUGGCGGCGUGCCUAACACAUGCAAGUCGAACGCGAAAGUUGUUUUCGGAUAAUGAGUAGAGUGGCGAACGGGUGAGUAACGCGUGGGUCACCUGCCCCGAGAUGGGGGAUAAGCCGGGAAACCCGGUCUAAUACCGCAUAAGCCUUACGAGGGAAAGCCUUCGGGUGUCUUGGGAGGGGCCUGCGUCCGAUUAGCUAGUAGGUGAGGUAAGAGCUCACCUAGGCUGCGAUCGGUAACCGGUCUGAGAGGACGGACGGUCACACUGGGACUGAGACACGGCCCAGACUCCUACGGGAGGCAGCAGUGGGGAAUUUUGCGCAAUGGGGGAAACCCUGACGCAGCAACGCCGCGUGGAGGAAGAAGGUUUUCGAAUCGUAAACUCCUGUCCGGAGGGAAGAUGAUGACGGUACCUCUGGAGGAAGCCCCGGCUAACUCCGUG